GUGUCCUCAACUGUUGGGAAAUCGACAAACAUUCUUUGGCAUGAUUGUCCAAUAGGUCAGUUUGAGAGGCAGAAACUGCUAAAUCAGAAGGGUUGUGUUGUGUGGAUAACAGGGUUAAGUGGUUCAGGGAAAAGCACACUAGCAUGCGCGCUAAGUCGCGAGCUGCACUCCAGAGGUCAUCUGACCUACAUUCUAGACGGCGACAAUCUAAGGCAUGGGUUAAACCGAGACCUCUGUUUCGAAGCAAAGGACCGUGCUGAAAAUAUACGCAGAGUAGGGAGAAGUAGCAAGCUGUUUGCAGAUGCUGGUCUGAUCUGCAUUGCCAGCUUGAUAUCACCCUACAGAAGUGAACGCAGCGCUUGCCGUAAAUUACUGCACAAUUCUACAUUCAUUGAGGUGUUUUUGGAUGUCCCACUUGAAGUUUGUGAAGCUAGGGAUCCAAAAGGUUUGUACAAGCUUGCCCGCGCAGGAAAAAUCAAAGGGUUUACUGGAAUUGAUGAUCCUUAUGAACCACCUUCUGACUGCGAGAUAGUGAUACAGUGCAAAGCUGGUGACUGCGCCACGCCUAAAUCGAUGGCUGAUCAAGUUGUGUCAUACCUCGAAGCAAAUGAGUUCUUACAGGAUUAG
RNAcentral lists this ribosomal RNA (627 nucleotides) under Triticum aestivum (bread wheat). RNAcentral's name for it is "partial small subunit ribosomal RNA". Lineage: Eukaryota; Viridiplantae; Streptophyta; Magnoliopsida; Poales; Poaceae. The record is from RNAcentral.